RNAcentral lists this ribosomal RNA (1032 nucleotides) under uncultured bacterium. RNAcentral's name for it is "bacterial SSU rRNA". It matches the Rfam family "Bacterial small subunit ribosomal RNA", at positions 336 to 1393 of the family's 1533-position model. The record is from RNAcentral.
CUCCUACGGGAGGCAGCAGUGGGGAAUAUUGCACAAUGGGGGAAACCCUGAUGCAGCGACGCCGCGUGGAGGAAGAAGGUCUUCGGAUUGUAAACUCCUGUUGUUGAGGAAGAUAAUGACGGUACUCAACAAGGAAGUGACGGCUAACUACGUGCCAGCAGCCGCGGUAAAACGUAGGUCACAAGCGUUGUCCGGAAUUACUGGGUGUAAAGGGAGCGCAGGCGGGAGAACAAGUUGGAAGUGAAAUCCAUGGGCUCAACCCAUGAACUGCUUUCAAAACUGUUUUUCUUGAGUAGUGCAGAGGUAGGCGGAAUUCCCGGUGUAGCGGUGGAAUGCGUAGAUAUCGGGAGGAACACCAGUGGCGAAGGCGGCCUACUGGGCACCAACUGACGCUGAGGCUCGAAAGUGUGGGUAGCAAACAGGAUUAGAUACCCUGGUAGUCCACACCGUAAACGAUGAUUACUAGGUGUUGGAGGAUUGACCCCUUCAGUGCCGCAGUUAACACAAUAAGUAAUCCACCUGGGGAGUACGACCGCAAGGUUGAAACUCAAAGGAAUUGACGGGGGCCCGCACAAGCAGUGGAGUAUGUGGUUUAAUUCGACGCAACGCGAAGAACCUUACCAAGUCUUGACAUCCCUUGACGAACAUAGAAAUAUGUUUUCUCUUCGGAGCAAGGAGACAGGUGGUGCAUGGUUGUCGUCAGCUCGUGUCGUGAGAUGUUGGGUUAAGUCCCGCAACGAGCGCAACCCUUAUUGCCAGUUACUACGUAAGAGGACUCUGGCGAGACUGCCGUUGACAAAACGGAGGAAGGUGGGGAUGACGUCAAAUCAUCAUGCCCUUUAUGACCUGGGCUACACACGUACUACAAUGGCGUUUAACAAAGAGAAGCAAGACCGCGAGGUGGAGCAAAACUCAAAAACAACGUCUCAGUUCAGAUUGCAGGCUGCAACUCGCCUGCAUGAAGUCGGAAUUGCUAGUAAUCGCGGAUCAGCAUGCCGCGGUGAAUACGUUCCCGGGCCUUGUACACACCGC